CAAUAAGUAGCUCAGUUGGUAGAACAUGAGACUCUUAAUAUCAAGGUCGUGGGUUCAUGCCCCAAGUUGGGUG
RNAcentral lists this transfer RNA (73 nucleotides) under Mus musculus (house mouse). RNAcentral describes it as "tRNA-Lys". Lineage: Eukaryota; Metazoa; Chordata; Mammalia; Rodentia; Muridae. The record is from RNAcentral.